AAGGAUUUAAGUUAAAAUUUAAACUAUUAACCUUCAAAGUUAAAAAUAUAUUAUUGUUGUAAGCCUUA
RNAcentral lists this transfer RNA (68 nucleotides) under Youtuus erythrus. RNAcentral's name for it is "tRNA-Trp". The record is from RNAcentral. Lineage: Eukaryota; Metazoa; Arthropoda; Insecta; Hemiptera; Caliscelidae.